Molecule: long non-coding RNA, 1287 nt
Organism: Tachysurus fulvidraco (yellow catfish)
Lineage: Eukaryota; Metazoa; Chordata; Actinopteri; Siluriformes; Bagridae
Exons: 2
Source: RefSeq, a predicted model, not a curated record
GUGCAGUAGUCGUGGCCGAGUGGUUAAGGCGAUGGACUAGAAAUCCAUUGGGGUCUCCCCGCGCAGGCUACUUCUGGCUCUCACAUGGACAUUGAUAUUUACACUUCCUCUGUGCUGGAUUAUAUCAACACCACCAUUGACAGUGUUACAACCCAGUAACAGAUCACCACAUACCCAAACCAUGGAUGAAUAAGGAUGUACGGCUCCUGCUCCAGGCCCGUAACACUGCCUUCAGAUCAGGUGAUGCACAGGCAUCAAAAGGCCAAGCACUGCUAUAAGCUAAAGGUAGAGGGACGCUUCUCCAACUCCGAAAACAGACGCAUGUUGCAGAGCAUCCAGGCCUUCAGCGACUAUAAGCCCAGCAACUUCCCCAUCAACUACAGACAUCUCAUUUCUGAACUAGCUAAAUUACUUAUGCUUUUAACAACAGAGAGACAACCACUAAAAACAGACCCUCUGAAACCUUCCAGACCAUCACACACCACCUCCGACUUCUAUGCAGCACAAGGCAGAAUCAACUCACACAAGGCUGACAGACCAGAUGGCUGUUUCUUUACUGAACUCUGCCUCCCGGUGACCACCCACCUCUGUAUAUUAUGUCGAUAGCAUCUGUAUAUUUGUCUAUAUAACACCCUGUAUAUCAUGUCUAUAAUACCCAACCUGUAUAUCUUGUCCAUAGCAUAUUCAUCUGCUAUUUCACAUUGCCAGAACAAGGAAACGCACCAAUAAGAGUACAUCACUGCACUCCAUGUGAAAAUUUUUUAGUAGCGGAGAAGCAGACAGGACAGUUUCCUCAAAUUUUCAGCUGGAAAUUACUCAUAAACUUAUUAAUUAGAAUAAGGUCUAAUGCAAGGAGUGGAUAAUUUAAUCAGAAAUGCAUGUGCACCUUGUUUUUUUUUUCAUUUGCCACUCAAAAGCUAAGAAAGAGAAAAAAAGUCUCCCUUUUGCAAUGCAUGAUUUGUGCGUGUGUGUACAGUACAUGUGUGCAUGUGUGUACAUGUCUGUGGGGGUUUUCUAGAUGUAGAAAUUUCACCAGAAAUUGGCAACCCUUGCUUAAUGCUGUUAGCUGUAUUAUUGUGCCACAGUAUGAGAUAAUAAAAAAAAAAAAAAAAAAACAGAAAUGUUCAAAAGCCAUUUAUUUUUUAUUGAAUACCAACUUUAGCUUACAUAGUUUAGUUUUUAGUGGUAUGGUCCUUAGGUCCUAUAUGAUUUUCUGUUAAUGACUUACCAGUAAACAUAUAUUUGGCAGGUUAAAGUCAUAAAAUAUAUCUUCAGUUAGGAGCAAAU